UACGUAGGGUGCAAGCGUUGUCCGGACUUACUGGGCGUAAAGGGUGCGUAGGCGGCCUGCUGCGUCGGUGCUGAAAGCGCCCGGCUUAACCGGGCGAGGCGUGCCGAUACGAGCGGGCUGGAGCCUUGGCGAGGGUGGCGGAACUCCUGGUGUAGUGGUGAAAUGCGUAGAGAUCAGGAAGAACACCCGUGGCGCAAGCGGCCACCUGGCCAAGAGCUGACGCUGAGGCACGAGAGCGUGGGGAGCGAACCGG
This 253-nucleotide ribosomal RNA is filed under the name uncultured bacterium. RNAcentral's name for it is "partial 16S ribosomal RNA". It matches the Rfam family "Bacterial small subunit ribosomal RNA", at positions 524 to 776 of the family's 1533-position model. The record is from RNAcentral.